Molecule: ribosomal RNA, 433 nt
Filed under: uncultured bacterium
Lineage: Bacteria
Description: partial 16S ribosomal RNA
Rfam family: Bacterial small subunit ribosomal RNA
Source: RNAcentral
AACGAACGCUGGCGGCAUGCCUAACACAUGCAAGUCGAACGAGACCUUCGGGUCUAGUGGCGCACGGGUGCGUAACGCGUGGGAACCUGCCCUUAGGUUCGGAAUAACUCCCCGAAAGGGGUGCUAAUACCGGAUAAUGUCUUCGGACCAAAGAUUUAUCGCCUUUGGAUGGGCCCGCGUUGGAUUAGCUAGUUGGUAGGGUAAAAGCCUACCAAGGCGACGAUCCAUAGCUGGUCUGAGAGGAUGAUCAGCCACACUGGGACUGAGACACGGCCCAGACUCCUACGGGAGGCAGCAGUGGGGAAUAUUGGACAAGGGGCGAAAGCCUGAUACAGCAAUGCCGCGUGAGUGAUGAAGGCCUUAGGGUUGUAAAGCUCUUUUACCCGGGAUGAUAAUGACAGUACCGGGAGAAUAAGCUCCGGCUAACUCCGUG